GUAGGUGGCAAGCGUUGUCCGGAAUUAUUGGGCGUAAAGCGCGCGCAGGCGGUUCUUUAAGUCUGAUGUGAAAGCCCACGGCUCAACCGUGGAGGGUCAUUGGAAACUGGGGGACUUGAGUACAGAAGAGGAAAGCGGAAUUCCAAGUGUAGCGGUGAAAUGCGUAGAGAUUUGGAGGAACACCAGUGGCGAAGGCGGCUUUCUGGUCUGUAACUGACGCUGAGGCGCGAAAGCGUGGGGAGCAAACAGGGAUUAGAUACCCUGGUAGUCCACGCCGUAAACGAUGAGUGCUAAGUGUUAGGGGGGUUUCCGCCCCCUUAGUGCUGCAGCUAACGCAUUAAGCACUCCGCCUGGGGAUACGGCCGCAAGGCUG
This 373-nucleotide ribosomal RNA is filed under the name uncultured organism. RNAcentral describes it as "partial 16S ribosomal RNA". It matches the Rfam family "Bacterial small subunit ribosomal RNA", at positions 527 to 896 of the family's 1533-position model. The record is from RNAcentral.